This 283-nucleotide ribosomal RNA is filed under the name uncultured prokaryote. Its description in RNAcentral is "partial 16S ribosomal RNA". It matches the Rfam family "Bacterial small subunit ribosomal RNA", at positions 524 to 817 of the family's 1533-position model. The record is from RNAcentral.
UACGUAGGGGGCUAGCGUUAUCCGGAAUUACUGGGCGUAAAGGGUGCGUAGGUGGUUUCUUAAGUCAGAGGUGAAAGGCUACGGCUCAACCGUAGUAAGCCUUUGAAACUGGGAAACUUGAGUGGAGGAGAGGAGAGUGGAAUUCCUAGUGUAGCGGUGAAAUGCGUAGAUAUUAGGAGGAACACCAGUUGCGAAGGCGGCUCUCUGGACUGUAACUGACACUGAGGCACGAAAGCGUGGGGAGCAAACAGGAUUAGAUACCCUGGUAGUCCCUGAGCGGGCU